CCUUAGGUCAGCAGACAUCAUAUUGAUCUCUACUGCUCCCGCAAACGGUGAUGUCUCGAUUCCCAUUGGUCGGUCUGCUAUCCGGAACAAACCUUUGUCCAAGUAAUCUUGAAUCAGAUUCCUGAAAUUUACACAAUUAUUUGUAGAGUGAGUCCAUUUCUCGUGCCAUUUACAAUAAUGUUUUCCUUUUCUUUCUUCUUCUUUAGGUAUCUUAUGUCCAGGCAGACAGGUCAAAAGCUGUUGAUAACCUGGCGGCUGCUUCAGAGCUUCAGAUGCCAACCAGUCGGCCGCGAUCUUACCCUCUCUCUUCUCUAUGAGUAUGCUUACAAAAGCACUGCCAAUCCCUUUGAACAAGAUUCCAGCAAGCUUGGAUCAGUUGUGCUUGAGGGUGAUUAGAGGAAAUCAAAUGAAUCACAGCAUGCAAACAAUAUUCAAAAUCAGUUUCAAGAAUGACCUGCUUGUAACCCAAAUCCCAUGCCAACAUAAGGCCACGGUAGAUGGCCCAGAAUUCAGCCACAUUCUUGGUUGUACAAUCCAAAUUCUCAAAGAAAGCAGACACCCAUCCGCAUUCAUUUUAACAUAUCAGGACUUUUCAUGAAAACUAAGUUGGCCUGCUCUUUGCCAUUAUUGUUUUGCGUGGUUAUUGAUGGGUUUGAAAGAACCUUUGAGACACACACCCCUGUGAUUGUCAUUGUAUGGCUCAAUCACAACAACAUCCGAACAAAUAUUUCCACGGCUUUAGUCUGGUUGUAUGGGAUUGAAUUUGGUCGACCACGUCUCAGCGCUAACACGAUCAACUAUUAGGUACCUACGUGCUGGUACGGGGCCGCAAGGGCUACCCAAGGAGGAAAGGAUAGAUGCCCUCGCAUCAUUGUCGGCUUCGUUAUAAGAUAUAUUUCUUCUUUUGUCGUUCCUAGAUAAGAAAAGGAUCGUCCGUUAUAUAAGGGGGAUCCAGGCCUUAUAAUGAGUUCGGUUGUUCUUUUAAACAAGAAAUAUAAUUCUCUCUCUCUCUACUCUUUAUCUCUCUACUGGUUCAUCCCCUCUACUAUUGCAAUUCCAUUUUCACUAAAACUAUCCUAGGGUUCAUUAUUUUCAACUACGAUUUACCUCUUCAUCUUUAUUGAUUGAUUUGCUUAAAAAGAGUUUAAUAUCUUUUGAGUCAAACAAUUUGGAACCGUCAGUGGGGAUUUCCAUAGUCAAAAUCAUAGUUCUCACCUAGGAUAUCGGAAUUGCCAAUUACAAUUCUUCACAUCCCGUAGAAGCUAACAAUGGCAGAGAAAAAAGUAAGGUUGACGAUGAUAACACGUGUCUCAAGUGGCUAGAAACCACGUGUUCAGUCUUGAUAAAGAAGUAUUUGUGCCAAUACUUAUGGCUCGGUCGGUCGUCUAUUCCAACCACCAGUCCCUUUGUGCCACAAAGCCUUAGAUGCACCAUUGUGCCCCUAAGGAAACUGGGGGAGAAUAAAUGCAAGAGGUGGUGCACGGAGACGUCACUCCUGGCUAGUUCCGCGUAUUUAGUCAACAAAAGGAGCACUUUGAGAGUGUAUGGCGUGAGCUGAGUUGGGCAGUAAUGAUAGAAUUUGCAGAACUCGGCUGCAGCAGGAUUUGAAAAAGGAAUUGAUCGUGACUUUGAAUCUGUUCUUUCCAUGACCCCUCUUAAUUGAGAUGAGACAUGAGAUCCAAUGCUUGAAUGAAGUAAAAAUCACUUUGAUUCAAUCAUACAUCUUGAAAUCAGCCUAAGUAUUCCUUUUUUCUUUUUUUUUUUUUUCAAUUCAUUUUAUCUAAUUUAUUUUUCUGGCUUGGCUAGGUGGGAUAGCCGAGCCAUUCCCUUUUCUUUCGGAUAGCAGGUUGGGCAAAACCCCAAAAGAAAAAGAGGCAGGGUAUAACCAAUCACAAAUGGGUACUCGUAGAAAGAACUGUACCCGGGUCUGUGAACGUUAGCGUAGUCCUCAUCUGCCAGAAUCAUCUCCACGUGAGCAUGGAUACCGUAUUUAACGUGAAGAGUGUCGAGAUUAGUUUGGUCUGUCUCCGAAAGUACGGGGCUUAGAGUAGGAGGUGGGUUCUUACUAAAGUCACUCCGAGAUGAGGAAUGUCAUGGUAGUGAUGCCUCCAGUGUAAGAGGACUGUCAUCAUCCUCCACCUCCACUUCUCCGCUAUUAGAGAAAGGCACUGCACUCACCGGAGCAAUCUCAGGAACUUCCUCAGUAGGGCGACGCGAUUUUGGCAUGAUUUUGUAUAGAAGUAGCAAGUCACACCAAUGGAGAAUGAGAAAAGAAGGCUUCCGAUCGAGAAUGAAAGUGAGAAAAUGAGGGGACGUGAAAACGAAAGAAGAAGAUUGAGAAGUUCUCAAGAAUGCCUAAAGUUCUUCAACGAAAUUAAACCCUUCACCUAUUUAUAAGGUUGGGUGGCGCCAUAAUCGAGGCGGAAGGCUUCAAAUCAGCACGGGAAACCAAGCGCCAAACCGUCAGUUUUUUUACCUCGAAAAUACGCAUAAUGAUGACGCAUGCGAACGCUGACGUCACCUAGGGAAGAGCGCUUUUUUUAAUGUUCUGCCAAAUGUGAUUACGAUCUCUCUCUACUGCCCAUGUCGUAACGUUUCGACAAGUCAAAUUCUCUUUAAAAGAGCAUUUAUUCCGCCCAUCGAGGACGCACCUCGCUGCGACCUGGACAAGCGGAGGGACUAACUGUAUUAAAUCAAAUUUAGUCGAUCACAUCUCAGCAGUAACAUGACCAACCAUUAGGUACCUACGUGCCGGUACAGGGGAAGGGGGUGACCCAAGGAGGAAAGGAUAAAUGCCCUCACAUCAUCGUAGACUUCGUUAUAAGAUAUGUUUCUUCCUUUGUCGUUCCUAGAUAAGAAAAGGAUCCUCAAUUAUAUAAGGGGGAUCCAAGCCUUGUAAUGAGUUCAGUUGUUCUUUUGGACAAGAAAUGUAAUUCUCUCUCUUUCUCUACUCUUUAUCUCUUUACUGGUUUAUCCCUCUACUAUUGCAAUUUCAUUUUUACUAAAACUAUCCUAGGGUUCAUUAUUUUCGAUUACGAUUUAACUCUUCGUCUUUGUUAAUUGAUUUGCUUAAAAAGAGUUUAAUAUCUUAUGAGUCAAACACUAAUGAUAAGAGUAUUGUACACACGUUACAAAUUCGUACAUUGGCACAAACAAAAAUGAAGUAUUUAAAUGGAGAAGAAUACAUACGUAAUAACCUUGGAACUGUAUAAAUCGAGAUUGAAACAUCUAUACCAGAGUCAUUAGCCGAAACCAACUCCACCAUCCAAAGUAGGUUAUACUAUACAAAAGAAAAGCGAAGAUCUAAAUGUUGAAAACUGAAAAAGAAAAGAAUAUAUGACAGGGCGACAGGGGUUACGGCUUUAUGCCUUUAUUCAUUCUUUCAUCAUGUCAGUUUAGCGAUUAUGGGGAGAUUCAUUCACUCCCUUCACUAAACUUAGAUUCACUCGUAUUCAGAUACCCUACCCUCCUUCCACCAAUAUAUAUUUAUAUAUUUAUUCUAUGCAAAAAAAGGACACCCGAUUCCCUUCUUUACAUCUCCAUU
This 3544-nucleotide long non-coding RNA is filed under the name Nicotiana benthamiana. RNAcentral's name for it is "long non-coding RNA (NBEN_LNC018062)". Lineage: Eukaryota; Viridiplantae; Streptophyta; Magnoliopsida; Solanales; Solanaceae. The record is from RNAcentral.